RNAcentral lists this transfer RNA (59 nucleotides) under Oxysarcodexia thornax. Its description in RNAcentral is "tRNA-Leu". The record is from RNAcentral. Lineage: Eukaryota; Metazoa; Arthropoda; Insecta; Diptera; Sarcophagidae.
UUUAUAUAUGUAAUUUUUAUUACAAAUAGUACUUGUUUUUUGUAGAAAAUUUAUUAUUU